GACGAACGCUGGCGGCGUGCUUAACACAUGCAAGUCGAACGGAAAGGCCCUGCUUUUGUGGGGUGCUCGAGUGGCGAACGGGUGAGUAACACGUGAGUAACCUGCCCUUGACUUUGGGAUAACUUCAGGAAACUGGGGCUAAUACCGGAUAGGAGCUCCUGCUGCAUGGUGGGGGUUGGAAAGUUUCGGCGGUUGGGGAUGGACUCGCGGCUUAUCAGCUUGUUGGUGGGGUAGUGGCUUACCAAGGCUUUGACGGGUAGCCGGCCUGAGAGGGUGACCGGCCACAUUGGGACUGCGAUACGGACCAGACUCCUACGGGAGGCAGCAGUGGGGAACAUUGCACAAUGGGCGGAAGCCUGAUGCAGCAACGCCGCGUGCGGGAUGACGGCCUUCGGGUUGUAAACCGCUUUCGCCUGUGACGAAGCGUGAGUGACGGUAAUGGGUAAAGAAGCACCGGCUAACUACGUG
This 468-nucleotide ribosomal RNA is filed under the name uncultured bacterium. Its description in RNAcentral is "partial 16S ribosomal RNA". It matches the Rfam family "Bacterial small subunit ribosomal RNA", at positions 28 to 507 of the family's 1533-position model. The record is from RNAcentral.